RNAcentral lists this ribosomal RNA (392 nucleotides) under uncultured bacterium. RNAcentral describes it as "bacterial SSU rRNA". It matches the Rfam family "Bacterial small subunit ribosomal RNA", at positions 28 to 419 of the family's 1533-position model. The record is from RNAcentral.
GACGAACGCUGGCGGCGUGCUUAACACAUGCAAGUCGAGCGGUAAGGCCCUUUCGGGGGUACGACGAGCGGCGAACGGGUGAGUAACACGUGGGUGACCUGCCCUCAGCUCUGGGAGUAAGCCUGGGAAACCGGGUCUAAUACUGGAUAUGACUCCAUGACGCAUGUUGUGGGGUGGAAAGCCUUGUGCGGCUGAGGAUGGGCCCGCGGCCUAUCAGCUUGUUGGUGGGGUGAUGGCCUACCAAGGCGACGACGGGUAGCCGGCCUGAGAGGGCGACCGGCCACACUGGGACUGAGACACGGCCCAGACUCCUACGGGAGGCAGCAGUGGGGAAUCUUGCGCAAUGGGCGAAAGCCUGACGCAGCGACGCCGCGUGAGGGAUGACGGCCUGG